Long non-coding RNA from Trachemys scripta elegans, 154 nucleotides. RefSeq lists it as uncharacterized. The transcript has 4 exons. The record is from RefSeq and is a predicted model, not a curated record. Lineage: Eukaryota; Metazoa; Chordata; Testudines; Emydidae.
GAUUGGAUGCAGAUACUAAUUCUGAUACAAGUUGGCCCGACUUUCAUCAUCUCCGCUAACCUGUUCAUCAGUUAUAAACGAAAUCACAGGAAACAGCAUGAUCCUGAAGCAGGACUACUCCUGGAGGAACAUGGUGAUCUCCAGGAAACAAUAA